Molecule: long non-coding RNA, 1349 nt
Organism: Austrofundulus limnaeus
Lineage: Eukaryota; Metazoa; Chordata; Actinopteri; Cyprinodontiformes; Rivulidae
Exons: 3
Source: RefSeq, a predicted model, not a curated record
GCUUGGAAUGAGCAGCAGCGAGCCAAAAUACAGCUAAUCCCUUCGAAAUUGUCGCACAUUUUCAAGUUAAAACCCAAACAAACAGGGAUGUGUGUUGUCAGAAGUGGUCUAUAACCAUUUUGGAGCAGAAGAAGAAGAAGAAGAAGAAGAAGAAGAGACUCCUCGAGCUCUGAUUUUGCAGAUACGGAUCUAUCACUUCAGGAAACCGAGGAUCUCACAGCAGAUCUCGGCAGCAGGAGAUAAAAGAAACCUCUGGUAACCACCUGUCAGCUCUGACUCACACAAAGAGGAUUAAGGACUGCUCGGCUCCACACCUCAGAACUAAAGAAAACUGAAAGAAUGACUGAGUCAAGUCUGAGAGCAGAAAAAGAUGUUUCCUAAUGCCAGCAGAGAUUUGGAUCUGUAACCACACGACUCUGCCUGGACUUCGCCCUUCAAACGGAGCUCGCAGAGUGAAAAAACAAACGGGCUCUGAUCAAAACGGACGUCUUCAGAAGAUCUCACCUCUAAAUGACCUGAACAGCUUCCUCACCUCUAAAAUUGAAACAUUUAUGUUUAAACUCCAAUCAGCUUUAUUUUUUUCCUGCUUAUAUUUAAAAUUUAAUGUUAUUUUUUAUAGAUUCUGACUGAUUUCAGGAAACGAGUCUGAGUGGUCCUGCCCGACAGUUCCGAGCCAAACGGCACGCCAGGUUCCAGCUUCUGCUUUCACAGUGAAAACACUGGGAUGUCUUAUAUAAUGCUGAGCGAGCUGCCAGGUGAAUUAGAGGCCAGCACUUGACGAGGAAAAUGUUUACGGAGCGACGCACCCGCCCUCCCGACAGAAACCCUUUCCCACGUUGGCCCCCGCAGAAAGAGACGUCCUCAGCAGAAGAUCUGGAGCGUCGCCACGGUCAGGCGGGGUCACAACUCGGGUCGGCUUAAUUCAGAGGCACGCUUCUAUUUUUUUAUUUUUAUUUUUUCAAAUGUAUUUUGUGUGUGUGUGUGUGUGUGUUUGCAUGCCCUCUUUUCACAUGCUCCGAGUCGAGUGUUGUGCACAUGAAAGGAAACACGCAGCGAUCUCAGCUGUGUUGUAGCAGGAGGUCUGUUUGACUCGCACAGUGCAGGAAGAAAAGAUUGAUCCGAUACCCACAGCGGUGACAAUGUUUGCUCUGCCGGAAUGAGAAACACGGUCAGGACAGACGAGAGGGAGAGGAGGGAAACAAAACUCAUUCAAUCUGGAAGGCUCGUGCUCACGCUCUGGACUGUUUGGCAGAAAAGACUCAAUUUUAAUAGGAUUAAUUCAUUUUAGCUAAAGAGCUCCGCUCCGUCUGUUUCAGGUUAGUGGACCUCAUUCAGUAAACUGUCCCGUC